This 374-nucleotide ribosomal RNA is filed under the name uncultured organism. Its description in RNAcentral is "partial 16S ribosomal RNA". It matches the Rfam family "Bacterial small subunit ribosomal RNA", at positions 527 to 896 of the family's 1533-position model. The record is from RNAcentral.
GUAGGUGGCAAGCGUUGUCCGGAGUUAUUGGGCGUAAAGCGCGCGCAGGCGGGUCCUUUAAGUCUGAUGUGAAAGCCCACGGGCUCAACCGUGGAGGGUCAUUGGAAACUGGGGGACUUGAGUACAGAAGAGGAAAGCGGAAUUCCAAGUGUAGCGGUGAAAUGCGUAGAGAUUUGGAGGAACACCAGUGGCGAAGGCGGCUUUCUGGUCUGUAACUGACGCUGAGGCGCGAAAGCGUGGGGAGCAAACAGGAUUAGAUACCCUGGUAGUCCACGCCGUAAACGAUGAGUGCUAAGUGUUAGGGGGUUUCCGCCCCUUAGUGCUGCAGCUAACGCAUUAAGCACUCCGCCUGGGGAGUACGGCCGCAAAGGCUG